Molecule: ribosomal RNA, 447 nt
Filed under: uncultured bacterium
Lineage: Bacteria
Description: bacterial SSU rRNA
Rfam family: Bacterial small subunit ribosomal RNA
Source: RNAcentral
CUUCCAGACUCCUACGGGAGGCAGCAGUGGGGAAUAUUGCACAAUGGGGGGAACCCUGAUGCAGCGACGCCGCGUGGGUGAAGGAGCACCUCGGUGCGUAAAGCCCUAUCGGCAGGGAAGAAACAGACGGUACCUGACUAAGAAGCCCCGGCUAACUACGUGCCAGCAGCCGCGGGAAUACGUAGGGGGCAAGCGUUAUCCGGAUUCACUGGGUGUAAAGGGAGCGUAGACGGCGACGCAAGUCUGGAGUGAAAGGCAGGGGCCCAACCCCUGGACUGCUCUGGAAACUGUCCGGCUGGAGUGCAGGAGAGGUAAGUGGAAUUCCUAGUGUAGCGGUGAGAUGCGUAGAUAUUAGGAGGAACACCAGUGGCGAAGGCGGCUUACUGGACUGUAACUGACGUUGAGGCUCGAAAGCGUGGGGAGCAAACAGGAUUAGAUACCCGCGUA